ACAACAGUUCGGGAGAAAUGAAGUGCUCUAUUUACCUACAUCACAGUUACAGAAUGGGCAGCAGCAGUGCAAGCUUCUUCACCCGCCAACGUGCCUCAGUGAGGUUUGAUUGUUAGAGGGUAAUUCAUGCAUCUUGCCCAUUUGCUCCAUUGCCCCU
RNAcentral lists this small RNA (157 nucleotides) under Chrysemys picta bellii (western painted turtle). Its description in RNAcentral is "TUC338 (ENSCPBG00000006728.1)". The record is from RNAcentral. Lineage: Eukaryota; Metazoa; Chordata; Testudines; Emydidae.